Molecule: RNA transcript, 3389 nt
Organism: Microplitis demolitor
Lineage: Eukaryota; Metazoa; Arthropoda; Insecta; Hymenoptera; Braconidae
Gene: MESK2
Gene name: protein NDRG3
Exons: 9
Source: RefSeq, a predicted model, not a curated record
AUAGUAAUUGUCGAUGUCUUCGUGACAAGACUUGAGCGUGAUCACUCGAGCGGUGUCAUUCAAUAUACAUCAUUGAAUAGUGCAUUUUACAAUUAUAUAUAUAUAUAUAUAUCUAUAUAUAUAAAUACAUAUAUUAUAACUGGGUAUAUUACAAAACUCCAUUUUAUAUUAAACAUAAAAAGUUAUAUCACAUCUAAUAAAUCGCUCGAGUGUUUGGAAAAUAGAUAAUUCAAAAAAAAAUAAAAAAAGUAACGAUCGCGUCGCGAUUGGUUUACUCGCGGGAUCGUAAAGUUUACUAAUAACAAACAAUUUAUAAAGUUUUUUUUCUUUAAGCUGCAAUUGUUUUUAGGCAACGAGGGUCGUGGAAGAUCCACAAAAACAUAUAUAAAUAACACCAGCUCAGGAUUUAAUAUAAAAUCCACAAGUGCGCACAGCAUCAAAUAUUAAAGUUACCACGACGCUUAUAAAAAGCUGUAGCAUCUUUGCCGUAAUACGAUAUAGUAAAAUACAAUAAAAGAUUGUCCUCAUCAUCAUCAUCAUCGUCAGUUGAGUAACAAGAUUAAGUAAUUGAUGAAAACGUCAGUUUUCCACCGGAAAUAUAUUUAAAAAAUUUGAUUUUUUUAACGACAAAAAAAAUAGUAACGAAAAAAGUUAUCAAGUGCCGCGAUGCCGGCAAACAAUGGAACUUCUUACCGAUCAUUAGAUGAUCUAGGUGAAAAUGUUUAUAAAAGUACGACGAUUGUUGAUCAGAAUCAUCAGACAAUGAGUCAGAGUGUGUUUGACAGUGUAAAAAAAGCCUUCAAUUUUGCUGCACCCAAAGCCGAGCUCAGGAGAAAGGAUCCGCUCAUCGAUGACCGUACGGAAAGCAUUUCUAUUGUUACUAGCACAAUGCCAUCAGAUAGCAUGGAUGAUAUCGAACUAAAAAAUAUCCAACUGCAAUUUCCUGCAUUGAGAUACCUGAGCAAAGAUGAUGGUUCUGUUAGGGAGGAGAGAGUUGAUACAGACAAAGGAAGUUUAUUGGUUGCCGUUCAAGGCAAUCGUGCUAAACCUGCCAUCCUAACUUAUCAUGAUCUAGGCCUUAAUUAUAUCUCGAGCUUCCAGGCAUUCUUUAAUUAUAUUGACAUGCGAGUAUUGCUUGAAAACUUUUGUGUUUAUCAUGUGAAUGCACCAGGUCAAGAGGAAGGAUCACCAACGCUACCUUUCGACUACGUUUAUCCAACGAUGGACGAAUUAGCACAACAGCUGCUGUUUGUGCUGGGGCAUUUUGGACUUAAAUCAGUUAUUGGUUUUGGCGUGGGUGCUGGGGCCAAUAUACUCGCACGGUUCGCUUUAUCUCAUCCCAGCAAAGUCAAUGCAUUGUGUUUAAUAAAUUGCAUCUCAACGCAAGCUGGUUGGAUCGAAUGGGGAUAUCAGAAACUAAAUGUUCGUCAUCUAAGGUCACAGGGUAUGACUCAAGGUGUUCUGGAUUAUCUUAUGUGGCAUCAUUUUGGCCGAGGAACUGAAGAAAGAAAUCAUGAUUUAGCUCAAGUUUAUACCAACUACUUUGAACGAAAAGUCAACCCAAUGAAUCUCGCAUUACUUAUUGACAGCUAUGUGCGACGUACAGAUUUAAAUAUAGCCCGUGAAUUGGAUCCAACUCGCAAAAAGGACGGUUCAACAUUAAGUGUACCCGUAAUCAAUAUCACUGGAGCAUUAAGUCCUCAUGUUGAUGAUACUGUUACGCUUAAUGGCCGUUUGGACCCGACCAAUAGUACAUGGAUGAAAAUAUCUGACUGUGGUAUGGUCCUUGAAGAACAGCCAGGAAAAGUGAGCGAAGCCUUUCGACUAUUUCUUCAAGGUGAAGGAUACGUGGUGAAAAGCUCGCGGAAGCCGUUGACGCCUACAACAUCCGAAGGUAAUUGUAAUUAGGAAUUGAAGCUGCAAAGGAACCGAUCAUUGCCGUUGGCCAAUUUACUGGCCAUUUCUAAUUGUUGAUGGCUCCAUUAUCACCAUUAAAAAUGGCCGAUUAUCGUUUAGCGUCAUUAGAAGGACUCAAUCAUUUUUGUUCGAAAAAAUUCGACUGGCCCACCGCCACUAUUCACAUCACCGAAAAUCCCAUAUCAGAAGCAGUAGUUUGUUAAGUUAAAACUGUGAAGCGUUCAUCUUUUUAAUUAACAAAACAAAACAAAAAAAAAAAAAACAAAACCAAUAAUACGCUUUGCAAUUAUUAUUUAAUUAACAAACCAAAACAAUAAACUAAAACAAAAUUGUUAUCACUCGUUAAUCAAGGAGGAGUUUUUAAUCAACGUAAACAAUUAAAUUAUUUAAAUAAUUAAUUUAAAUCCAGGAUUGGUUUCGUCUGUCCACAACGAUCGUUAAUUAUCAAACCAUCGAGUAAAAAAAAAAACGAUAUCACGAAUUUAAAAAAUAUCAAUUGGCCUAGGAAAAAAAAACAGAACGAACCAUAUCUGUAGAACAAGUACAAUUCAUAUCUCGAAUCGAAAAACAAAAUUGUUCUCAUUUAUUAAUUAUUAAUUAAUUGAUUAAUAAGUUAAAUAGUUAGUUAGUUAGUUAGUUAGUUAGUUAGUUAUUAUUAAUUAUUAUUAUUUAUAAAAAAAGUUAGAAGAUAAAUUAGUUUGCGCAUUAUUUGCACUUGUUGCACUCCUGCCUAAAAAAACUAAAGACGGUAAUAAAAAUAGUUUAGAAAAAUAAAAUCCCGUUAAAAGUAAGUAUACAAAAUUAUAAAAAAAAAUAAAAAUGGUUUGGUAGGUCUCCAUUGGGUUGCCCGAUCCCCCCAAGCCUCUAGAGUGAUAUAAUAAGACGUGCCUGCAUUUAAAUACGAAUUCUUAUAUAUCUUAACAAAACGAAAAAUCACAAAAAAACUAUUUAAUAAUUAUUUUAUUUUGUUAUUUUGUACUUAUAUAUUUUUAUUAAAACAAAAUAUUUAAAUCCGAUAAUAAUAAUUUUUUUUAAAAAUUAUUUUCUAAAAUUAUUAUUAUUACUGUUAUUGUUACUGUUAUAAUUAAUUUAAACGCUCAUCCUCUAAUUGCGCUGACAUGAAUGCUGAAACAUGAUGGGUUUAGUCGCUGAACAAUAUUACAAAUGUGCAUACGUGUUUGAUCUGAAUUGUAAAAUGAUAUUUUAAAACUGUUGACAAUGCAUUAAACGAGCUAAGUGUUUAGAUAAUACAACAAAAGUAAUGUUAGUUAUAUAUGUAUAUAUAUUAUAAUAAUAUAUAUAUGUGUAUAUGAAUAAAUAUAUGUAAUUGUUUCAUCAUAAAAUGUUUUACACAGUAACCAAAUAAAGUAAUUAAAUAAUAAAUAUAAAUAUAAUGUUUUAAAUUUUAAAAAUUAACUAUAAAUAAUAAUAAUACAUGAUUUUGAAGUUGAAAGACUAAUUAAUAAUUUUGG